CGAAUACCGAUGUAUGGUCAGUCAACUCCCCUAAACACCGUACGACUGCUAUGGGCUGCUUUCCUGACAAGGAUAUGUGGCGUGGCCGCCCUGGGGACAUUAUCCUGCCAAGGACAUAGAUCAACCCCAGUGAUUUGACAGCCCACGGUGACUUGACAAUCCACGAUGAUUCUGACAACCUCCGAUGAUUUGACAACUCUCCAAUUGUCUGUGCCAUUAAUGGCAAGACCACGCCGCACC
Molecule: long non-coding RNA, 240 nt
Filed under: Elaeis guineensis (African oil palm)
Lineage: Eukaryota; Viridiplantae; Streptophyta; Magnoliopsida; Arecales; Arecaceae
Description: long non-coding RNA (EGUI_LNC016446)
Source: RNAcentral